This 261-nucleotide ribosomal RNA is filed under the name uncultured prokaryote. Its description in RNAcentral is "partial 16S ribosomal RNA". It matches the Rfam family "Bacterial small subunit ribosomal RNA", at positions 524 to 784 of the family's 1533-position model. The record is from RNAcentral.
UACGUAGGUGACAAGCGUUGUCCGGAAUUAUUGGGCGUAAAGGGAGCGCAGGCGGUUGGAAUAGUCUGAUGUGAAAGUCCACGGCUUAACCGUGGAAGGUCAUUGGAAACUGUCCAACUUGAAUGCAGAAGAGGUAAGUGGAAUUCCAUGUGUAGCGGUGAAAUGCGUAGAUAUAUGGAGGAACACCAGUGGCGAAGGCGACUUACUGGUCUGUGAUUGACGCUGAGGCUCGAAAGCGUGGGUAGCGAACAGGAUUAGAUA